AACGAACGCUGGCGGCAUGCCUAACACAUGCAAGUCGAACGAGACCUUCGGGUCUAGUGGCGCACGGGUGCGUAACGCGUGGGAACCUGCCCUUAGGUUCGGAAUAACUCCCCGAAAGGGGUGCUAAUACCGGAUAAUGUCUUCGGACCAAAGAUUUAUCGCCUUUGGAUGGGCCCGCGUUGGAUUAGCUAGUUGGUUGGGUAAAAGCCUACCAAGGCGACGAUCCAUAGCUGGUCUGAGAGGAUGAUCAGCCACACUGGGACUGAGACACGGCCCAGACUCCUACGGGAGGCAGCAGUGGGGAAUAUUGGACAAUGGGCGAAAGCCUGAUCCAGCAAUGCCGCGUGAGUGAUGAAGGCCUUAGGGUUGUAAAGCUCUUUUACCCGGGAUGAUAAUGACAGUACCGAGAGAAUAAGCUCCGGCUAACUCCGUG
Molecule: ribosomal RNA, 433 nt
Filed under: uncultured bacterium
Lineage: Bacteria
Description: partial 16S ribosomal RNA
Rfam family: Bacterial small subunit ribosomal RNA
Source: RNAcentral